RNAcentral lists this ribosomal RNA (253 nucleotides) under uncultured bacterium. RNAcentral describes it as "partial 16S ribosomal RNA". It matches the Rfam family "Bacterial small subunit ribosomal RNA", at positions 524 to 776 of the family's 1533-position model. The record is from RNAcentral.
UACAGAGGGGGCAAGCGUUGUUCGGAAUUACUGGGCGUAAAGGGCGCGUAGGCGGCCUUCUAAGUCGAACGUGAAAUCCCCGGGCUCAACCCGGGAACUGCGUCCGAUACUGGAAGGCUUGAAUCCGGGAGAGGGAUGCGGAAUUCCAGGUGUAGCGGUGAAAUGCGUAGAUAUCUGGAGGAACACCGGUGGCGAAGGCGGCAUCCUGGACCGGCAUUGACGCUGAGACGCGAAAGCGUGGGGAGCGAACAGG